This 888-nucleotide ribosomal RNA is filed under the name Alexandrium catenella. RNAcentral's name for it is "partial large subunit ribosomal RNA". It matches the Rfam family "Eukaryotic large subunit ribosomal RNA", at positions 79 to 923 of the family's 3401-position model. Lineage: Eukaryota; Dinophyceae; Gonyaulacales; Pyrocystaceae. The record is from RNAcentral.
UUUAGUAAUUGCGAAUGAACAAGGAUAUGCUUAGCUUGACAAAUGGAGCUAUUGGCUUUGAAUUGUAUUGUGGAAAUGUAUUACCAACAGAGGUGCAGGUGCCAGCCUAUUGAAAUAAAGCGUCAAUGAGGGUGAGAAUCCUGUUUGUCAUGUGCAGCCCUUUGUGCACGGUGUAUAUUUGCUGAGUCACACUCCUUGGCAUUGGAAUGCAAAGUGGGUGGUAAGUUUCAUGUAAAGGUAAACAUGCAAUUGAGACUGAUAGCACACAAGUACCAUGAGGGAAAUAUGAAAAGGACUUUGAAAAGAGAAUUAAAUGAGUUUGUAUUUGCUGAACACAAAGUAAACAGACUUGAUUUGCUUGGUGGGAGUGUUGCACUUGCUUGACAAGAGCUUUGGGCUGUGGGUGUAAUGAUUCUUUCUUUGCAUGCCAGUUUCUAUUUGUACAUCUGAUUACCUUUGCACAUGAAUGAUAAGUCUCCUGUGGGGGGUGGAUUGCAUGUGCAUGUAAUGAUUUGUGUUUUGAUAAAUGUGUCUGGUGUAUGUGUGUGUUCCUGUGCUUGGGGAUGCUUCCUUCCUUGGACUUACAAGCCCUGACACACACAUGCUGGCAAAAUGCUUCUGCUUGACCCGUCUUGAAACACGGACCAAGGAGUCUAACAGAUGUGCAAAGUUUGAAGGUGGUAUACCUUUGUGUGCAAUGAAAGUGUCAGCUGGGAUAUGUGCACCAGCACCCAAUUAAUUAGCGGACAGAGGUUUGAGUUGGAGCAUAUCUAUUAGGACCCGAAAGAUGGUGAACUAUGCCUGAACAGAAUGAAUUCAGAGGAAACUCUGAUGGAGGUUCGUAUCGAUACUGACGUGCAAAUCGUUCGUCAUAUUUGGGUAUAGGGG